AGUCUCCUGGUGCUUACCCACAGGAUGUGUUCUUAUACUGGUUGUAUAGAAUAAGUAGGCAGAGCAAACCUAUCCUAUAUACACCUCAGCUCAGGCCCUGUGCCAGGUCUGUAUUGUGAAUGGCGGGAGCAUGG
RNAcentral lists this small nucleolar RNA (134 nucleotides) under Carlito syrichta (Philippine tarsier). RNAcentral describes it as "Small nucleolar RNA SNORA51 (ENSTSYG00000019813.2)". It matches the Rfam family "Small nucleolar RNA SNORA51". From Rfam's summary of the family: ACA51 is a member of the H/ACA class of snoRNA that guide the sites of modification of uridines to pseudouridines. Lineage: Eukaryota; Metazoa; Chordata; Mammalia; Primates; Tarsiidae. The record is from Rfam by way of RNAcentral.